CUGCAGUGCCAAAGCUAACGCAUUAAGUACCCCGCCUGGGGAGUACGGCCGCAAGGCUAAAACUCAAAGGAAUUGACGGGGGCCGCACAAGCGGUGGAGCAUGUGGUUUAAUUCGACGCAACGCGAAGAACCUUACCUGGGCUUGACAUCCCGAUCGUACCUUUUGGAAACAUUAGGGUCAGCUUGGCUGGAUCGGUGACAGGUGCUGCAUGGCUGUCGUCAGCUCGUGUCGUGAGAUGUUGGGUUAAGUCCCGCAACGAGCGCAACCCUUGUCCUUAGUUGCCAUCAUUCAGUUGGGCACUCUAAGGAGACUGCCGGUGUUAAACCGGAGGAGGGUGGGGACGACGUCAAGUCAUCAUGGCCCUUAUGUCCAGGGCUACACACGUGCUACAAUGGCCGGUACAAAGGGCAGCAAUACCGCGAGGUGGAGCGAAUCCCAAAAAGCCGGUCUCAGUUCGGAUUGGAGUCUGCAACUCGACUCCAUGAAGUUGGAAUCGCUAGUAAUCGCGUAUCAGCGUGACGCGGUGAAUACGUUCCCGGGCCUUGUACACACCGCCCGUCACACCACGGGAGUUGAUUGUACCUGAAGCGGUGGCUUAC
Molecule: ribosomal RNA, 600 nt
Filed under: uncultured bacterium
Lineage: Bacteria
Description: bacterial SSU rRNA
Rfam family: Bacterial small subunit ribosomal RNA
Source: RNAcentral